RNAcentral lists this ribosomal RNA (750 nucleotides) under uncultured bacterium. RNAcentral's name for it is "bacterial SSU rRNA". It matches the Rfam family "Bacterial small subunit ribosomal RNA", at positions 839 to 1492 of the family's 1533-position model. The record is from RNAcentral.
UUCGGUGCCGCAGCUAACGCAAUAAGUAUUCCACCUGGGGAGUACGUUCGCAAGAAUGAAACUCAAAGGAAUUGACGGGGACCCGCACAAGCGGUGGAGCAUGUGGUUUAAUUCGAAGCAACGCGAAGAACCUUACCAAGUCUUGACAUCCCAUUGACAGUAUAUGUAAAGUAUAGUCCCUACGGGGCAAUGGAGACAGGUGGUGCAUGGUUGUCGUCAGCUCGUGUCGUGAGAUGUUGGGUUAAGUCCCGCAACGAGCGCAACCCUUAUUCUUAGUAGCCAGCAGGUGAAGCUGGGCACUCUAGGGAGACUGCCGGGGAUAACCCGGAGGAAGGUGGGGAUGACGUCAAAUCAUCAUGCCCCUUAUGAUUUGGGCUACACACGUGCUACAAUGGCGUAAACAAAGGGAAGCGACCCUGUGAAGGCAAGCGAAUCCCAAAAAUAACGUCUCAGUUCGGAUUGUAGUCUGCAACUCGACUACAUGAAGCUGGAAUCGCUAGUAAUCGCGAGUCAGAAUGUCGCGGUGAAUACGUUCCCGGGUCUUGUACACACCGCCCGUCACACCACGGGAGUCGGAAAUGCCCGAAGUCAGUGACCUAACCCUCAUCAGUGAGCAUAACGGAUUGUGAUAAUGGAAGGAAAAGAGAGCCAUUAUUAUGAGAGAAAAGAAAUAGGAAGCAAAAAGUUGUGUUUAGUGAUGAGGGAAGGAGCUGCCGAAGGUGGAGCCGGUAACUGGGGUGAAGUCGUAAC